GAUGAAGAACGUAGCGAAAUGCGAUACUUGGUGUGAAUUGCAGAAUCCCGUGAACCAUCGAGUCUUUGAACGCAAGUUGCGCCCGAAGCCAUUAGGCCGAGGGCACGCCUGCCUGGGCGUCACACGUCGUUGCCCCCCCAUCUACUCCUUCGGGAUUGCGGGGGGCGGAUGAUGGCCUCCCGUGCGCCUCGUCGCGCGGUUGGCAUAAAUGCCAAGUCCUCGGCGACGCACGCCACGACAAUCGGUGGUUGCGAAACCUCGGUUGCCCGUCGUGUGCGGUCGUUGCGCAUCGAGGGCUCGAAAAAAUUGCCGGGCUCCGGCUCGGCUUUCAACGCGACCCCAGGUCAGGCGGGGUUACCCGCUGAAUUUAAGCAUAUCAAUAAGCGGAGGA
Molecule: unclassified non-coding RNA, 391 nt
Filed under: soil metagenome
Description: partial contains 5.8S ribosomal RNA, internal transcribed spacer 2, and large subunit ribosomal RNA
Rfam family: 5.8S ribosomal RNA (bases 1-122)
Source: RNAcentral